This 253-nucleotide ribosomal RNA is filed under the name uncultured bacterium. RNAcentral's name for it is "partial 16S ribosomal RNA". It matches the Rfam family "Bacterial small subunit ribosomal RNA", at positions 524 to 776 of the family's 1533-position model. The record is from RNAcentral.
UACGUAGGGUGCGAGCGUUGCCCGGAUUUAUUGGGCGUAAAGGGCGCGUAGGCGGUCACGCACGUCCGUUGUGAAAUCGCUCGGCUCAACUGGGCGGGGUCAGCGGAUACGGCGUGGCUGGAGCAAGCUAGGGGGCAAUGGAAUUCCCGGUGUAGUGGUGGAAUGCGUAGAUAUCGGGAGGAACACCAGUGGCGAAGGCGGUUGCCUGGAGCUUUGCUGACGCUGAUGCGCGAAAGCGUGGGGAGCGAGCCGG